CAAAGAUGGUGUUUACGUAAGCAACGUCUUUGAAAGUUCACAAACAAAGACGUUGCUUAUGUAAGCACCGUCUUCGUUUGCGAACUUUCAAAGACGUUGCUGGCAUAAGCACCGUCUUU
Molecule: microRNA precursor, 119 nt
Filed under: Glycine soja
Lineage: Eukaryota; Viridiplantae; Streptophyta; Magnoliopsida; Fabales; Fabaceae
Description: MIR4374 microRNA precursor family
Rfam family: MIR4374 microRNA precursor family
Source: Rfam by way of RNAcentral